UACGAAGGGGGCUAGCGUUGUUCGGAAUUACUGGGCGUAAAGCGCAUGUAGGCGGAUAUUUAAGUCAGGGGUGAAAUCCCAGAGCUCAACUCUGGAACUGCCUUUGAUACUGGGUAUCUUGAGUAUGGAAGAGGUGAGUGGAAUUCCGAGUGUAGAGGUGAAAUUCGUAGAUAUUCGCAAGAACACCAGUGGCGAAGGCGGCUCACUGGCCCGAUACUGACGCUGAGGUGCGAAAGCGUGGGGAGCAAACAGG
RNAcentral lists this ribosomal RNA (253 nucleotides) under uncultured bacterium. Its description in RNAcentral is "partial 16S ribosomal RNA". It matches the Rfam family "Bacterial small subunit ribosomal RNA", at positions 524 to 776 of the family's 1533-position model. The record is from RNAcentral.